AGCAUGUGGUUUAAUUCGAUGCAACGCGAAGAACCUUACCUACUCUUGACAUCCAGAGAAUUUGCUAGAGAUAGCUUAGUGCCUUCGGGAACUCUGAGACAGGUGCUGCAUGGCUGUCGUCAGCUCGUGUUGUGAAAUGUUGGGUUAAGUCCCGCAACGAGCGCAACCCUUAUCCUUUGUUGCCAGCGAGUAAUGUCGGGAACUCAAAGGAGACUGCCGGUGAUAAACCGGAGGAAGGUGGGAUGACGUCAAGUCAUCAUGGCCCUUACGAGUAGGGCUACACACGUGCUACAAUGGCAUAUACAAAGAGAAGCGAACUCGCGAGAGCAAGCGGACCUCAUAAAGUAUGUCGUAGUCCGGAUUGGAGUCUGCAACUCGACUCCAUGAAGUCGGAAUCGCUAGUAAUCGUAGAUCAGAAUGCUACGGUGAAUACGUUCCCGGGCCUU
Molecule: ribosomal RNA, 446 nt
Filed under: uncultured Enterobacteriaceae bacterium
Lineage: Bacteria; Pseudomonadati; Pseudomonadota; Gammaproteobacteria; Enterobacterales; Enterobacteriaceae
Description: bacterial SSU rRNA
Rfam family: Bacterial small subunit ribosomal RNA
Source: RNAcentral